AGUGGGCAAAAUGGUAGCAGCUGGCAGCUUCUGCUUCAGAUAAAUAGAUCUCAGCAGUAACAACCUGAAUUUGCCUGUCUCUCCAGACUUCAGAUCUGCUUGUUUGCCCUGCAACCUCAGUUCUUUGAUGGAUCCAAGAAAAGGCCUUGAUUUUUGGCUUAAGAUUUUUCUUAUUGUAAGAAGAGAAGUGAUGACUUCUAAGCUGUUUACACUGAGGGCCUAAAACCAGAGAAGGCCUGCUAAGAUGGAAGCAGAAGAGAGCAAGCUAGCUCUCAGGGACUGGGGUGGAAAUGAGUGCUCUGCAAGAACUUCAGAGUGUUCAGCCUUCCAAAGUCUGUGAAUGCAUUCUAAGAGUGGCUGUGGCUUGGCUUCUUAAGUAUAAAGGGCAUGUUGUCAUACUUGCUAUGAUCACAAAAGUGAAGCGAUCCAAUUGCUUUUCCAAGUGCUUCCAAGGGGCUGGCCCCGUGGCCGAGUGGUUAAGUUCGCGUGCUCUGCUGCAGGCGGCCCAGUGUUUCGUUGGUUCGAAUCCUGG
Molecule: long non-coding RNA, 532 nt
Filed under: Equus asinus (donkey)
Lineage: Eukaryota; Metazoa; Chordata; Mammalia; Perissodactyla; Equidae
Description: lncRNA (ENSEASG00005037761.1)
Source: RNAcentral